This 404-nucleotide ribosomal RNA is filed under the name uncultured bacterium. RNAcentral describes it as "bacterial SSU rRNA". It matches the Rfam family "Bacterial small subunit ribosomal RNA", at positions 355 to 776 of the family's 1533-position model. The record is from RNAcentral.
UAGGGAAUCUUCCACAAUGGACGCAACCCUGAUCCAGCAAUGCCGCGUGUGUGAAGAAGGUUUUCGGAUUGUAAAGCACUUUCGGCGGGGACGAUGAUGACGGUACCCGCAGAAGAAGCCCCGGCUAACUUCGUGCCAGCAGCCGCGGUAAUACGAAGGGGGCUAGCGUUGCUCGGAAUGACUGGGCGUAAAGGGCGUGUAGGCGGUUUGUACAGUCAGAUGUGAAAUCCCCGGGCUUAACCUGGGAGCUGCAUUUGAUACGUGCAGACUAGAGUGUGAGAGAGGGUUGUGGAAUUCCCAGUGUAGAGGUGAAAUUCGUAGAUAUUGGGAAGAACACCGGUGGCGAAGGCGGCAACCUGGCUCAUGACUGACGCUGAGGCGCGAAAGCGUGGGGAGCAAACAGG